CGGGUGUGGUGGGCCGCUGGG
This 21-nucleotide microRNA is filed under the name Sus scrofa (pig). RNAcentral's name for it is "ssc-mir142". Lineage: Eukaryota; Metazoa; Chordata; Mammalia; Artiodactyla; Suidae. The record is from RNAcentral.